AAAGUUGGAGCUGUCUACGCUA
This 22-nucleotide non-coding RNA is filed under the name Arabidopsis thaliana (thale cress). Lineage: Eukaryota; Viridiplantae; Streptophyta; Magnoliopsida; Brassicales; Brassicaceae. The record is from RNAcentral.